GUGCUUGCUUGACAGCACAUAUACUAAAAUUGGACUGAUACAGAGAAGACUAGAAUGGCCCCUGCAGAAGGAUGACAUGCAAAUUCAUAAAGUGUUCCAUAUUUUU
Molecule: small nuclear RNA, 106 nt
Organism: Tursiops truncatus (common bottlenose dolphin)
Lineage: Eukaryota; Metazoa; Chordata; Mammalia; Artiodactyla; Delphinidae
Source: Ensembl